Maylandia zebra (zebra mbuna) is the source of this 147-nucleotide small nuclear RNA. Its record names the gene U2. It matches the Rfam family "U2 spliceosomal RNA". Rfam says of the family: U2 is a small nuclear RNA (snRNA) component of the spliceosome (involved in pre-mRNA splicing). NCBI's taxonomy places the organism in Eukaryota, Metazoa, Chordata, Actinopteri, Cichliformes, Cichlidae. The record is from Ensembl.
AUCUGUUCUUAUCAGUUUAAUAUCUGAUACGUCCCCUACCCGGGGACCAUAUAUUAAAUUGACUUUUGGAGCAGGGACAUGGAAUAGGGGCUUGCUCCGUCCACUCCACGCAUCGACCUGGUAUUGCAGUAUUUCUAGGAACGGUGC